UGGUGGAGUGAUUUGUCUGGUUAAUUCCGAUAACGAACGAGACCUUAACCUGCUAAAUAGUCACAUUAAUCUUUCAUGAUUGAUGAUUUUGACUUCUUAGAGGGACUAUUGAUGUUUAAUCAAUGGAAGUUUGAGGCAAUAACA
Molecule: ribosomal RNA, 144 nt
Filed under: uncultured eukaryote
Lineage: Eukaryota
Description: partial 18S ribosomal RNA
Rfam family: Eukaryotic small subunit ribosomal RNA
Source: RNAcentral